UGCAAGCAUUCCACAUGGAGCUGCUGCAGGAGGGAGAAGGCAAAGUGGUGUGUGGAACUGGGAGGAAGGAGCCAGCAAGAAGAGGGGCUGUGAAUUGGCUUUUUUGUUGGCUUACUUGCCCAUUACACAAACUAGGACGACAAGAAAAACAAAGCCUUGACUUCUGAAGCUCUGUAAUAUGGACAAAGAUUUCAAAUAAAAUUCAGCAACAGGACAGACACUGUUAUGGCAGAGUAACACAGCUACCAGGGGACUCUGGACAUGUCAGACCUGUGAACAAGGAGCCUGCAGAAAAUCUUGCCCUGGGUUUCAGCUGAUGUUACUGCGUCAGCCUGAAUCACUGCAGGAAGGACAGAGCAGCGAUGCUUUUCUGUUUCUCAGCACCGUCUCUUAGAUUAGUCUGGUUUAUGUAACAUGCUACGUUGCAUAGUUUCAUUUCAAUCUCUGCAGUGUUAUACUGUUGGCAUGUUACUAUUGCUAUUCGCUUAAAAAUAGAGAAGGUAUAACAGGGAAUGUAUGCUACAGCGAGGGUGACAGAUGGAAUUCUUCCACUUAUAUAAAAAAUGCAAUGUAAUGAAUAUUUAUGCAAUUGCUUUUUUACUGUGUAGCAAUACAAUGUAUGGGUCUUUUUCCUUGAUCGUAGUCCUUGCAAUGCUACAGCCUUCUGGAGAUUCUCAUAUAAAUCAGAUGCUGAGGAAGAAUCUGCUUUCUUCUCAUUAGGAAGCAGGAAAAAAAAGAUGCACCUUCUUUCAGAAAGUAGAAAAAAAAAAUCCCAUGGAUAUUUAAUUAUAAAAAACUUUUUUUAUCACAAAAAAGUGAUGUCAUAAAAUCAAAUAUUCUAGCAAGGAAAUAUAGCAUGCUUUGCAUGUUCAUAUUGUUCUACCCUGAAUCAGUUCUUUUUCGGGAGAGACCUUCCAGAUAGUUGAAAGUUUUAUGUUUAGCCUUUCUGCAUGUCUUUGUAGCUAUUUUCCGUACUA
This is a long non-coding RNA of Tympanuchus pallidicinctus (lesser prairie-chicken), 977 nucleotides long. RefSeq lists it as uncharacterized. The record is from RefSeq and is a predicted model, not a curated record. Lineage: Eukaryota; Metazoa; Chordata; Aves; Galliformes; Phasianidae. The transcript is spliced from 4 exons.